Molecule: long non-coding RNA, 462 nt
Filed under: Pongo abelii (Sumatran orangutan)
Lineage: Eukaryota; Metazoa; Chordata; Mammalia; Primates; Hominidae
Description: lincRNA
Source: RNAcentral
GGGAAAAUGUGGAGUAUCAGUCAGGAGGCAACACUAGGAGCCGAGGAAUCUGCAUUUCUAUCAGACCUUGGCAGAGAGCGCCCUGGGAAAUGCGGAUGUAGAAGGUCACAAGAACAUCUCUCCUGGUUAUACAGCGUUCCAGCGCCUCUUCAAGUGAGAUGGCAGACCACCUCAGGAUGGAAAUGUAUUUCUUCACCCCUCUGUCUACUUCCCUGUGACCUCCUGCAAAUAAGGGAGAGAUGAAGAGAAGAGCAGAAGAACAGCAGAAUGGAGUGGCAAAUAGACGAGGAGUGUCUGAACAUUGACAAGACUUUGGCUGGGGAUGGUCAGAGAGGAGAUUAGCUGCUAGACACCCACACUGCAGGGAAAGAUCAUUUUCCCACUCCAUCUCCCUUCCAGCUCCCCAUCCAUCUCACCAAGAGCCAGCUCCUCCGCUCAAUAAAACCUUACAUUCAUCUUUCA